AGUAAAUUAACACAAAAAGUGGAUAAUUUUUAAAGUUUUGAUUUGAGUAGGUAAAUUUUAAGUUUACUAAAAAAAUGGCUACUUUCAUAUAUUGACUCUUUUUAAUUUUUAUGUUAAUUUAUAAAUUAUUUUAAUUUAAAUAACAUUAAAGAUUACAUUUAUUUUAAAAACUGAAAAUUUCAUUAAUUAAAAACACUGAAAAUUUAAAAAAA
This 212-nucleotide long non-coding RNA is filed under the name Salvia miltiorrhiza (redroot sage). RNAcentral's name for it is "long non-coding RNA (SMIL_LNC012158)". Lineage: Eukaryota; Viridiplantae; Streptophyta; Magnoliopsida; Lamiales; Lamiaceae. The record is from RNAcentral.